UACAGAUCGUCAGGAGAGAGUGCCCCCCGGGGUGCCGCCGAAGGCGAGUCAGGGUUCCCCGGAACCCUGACGAGAACGCUCAGGCAAAAGGACUGGCAAACGCUU
RNAcentral lists this non-coding RNA (105 nucleotides) under Rhizobacter sp. Root1221. RNAcentral's name for it is "Glycine riboswitch aptamer". It matches the Rfam family "Glycine riboswitch aptamer". From Rfam's summary of the family: This family represents the bacterial glycine riboswitch. Glycine riboswitches usually consist of two metabolite-binding aptamers domains with similar structures in tandem. RNAcentral also lists the same sequence under 1 other name. Lineage: Bacteria; Pseudomonadati; Pseudomonadota; Betaproteobacteria; Burkholderiales; Sphaerotilaceae. The record is from Rfam by way of RNAcentral.